GACGAACGCUGGCGGCGUGCUUAAUGAAUGCGAGUCGAGCGAGAACCGGACUGAGGAAACCUUCGGGUGGAAUCAGUCUGGGGAGAGCGGCAAACGGGUGAGUAACACGUGGGUAACCUGCCCCUCAGACGGGGAUAAUUCGCCGAAAGGCGGACUAAUACCCGAUGGUGAUGUGCCAACACAUGUUGAUACAUCUAAAGGCUCCGGUGCUGAGGGAGGGGUCCGCGGCCGAUUAGCUUGUUGGUAGGGUAACGGCCUACCAAGGCUUCGAUCGGUAGCCGGUCUGAGAGGAUGACCGGUCACACUGGGACUGAGACAUGGUCCAGACUCCUACGGGAGUUAGCAUCAGGGAAUCUUGCGCAAUGGGCGAAAGCGUGACGCAGCGACGCCGCGUGGGUGAUGAAGGCCUGCGGGUCGUAAAGCCCUGUCGGGAGGGAAGAAACAGCACCUUCGGGUGCUUUGACUGUACCUCCGGAGGAAGCCCCGGCUAAUUACGUGCCAGCAGCCGCGGUAAUACGUAAGGGGCCAGCGUUGUCCGGAAUUACUGGGCGUAAAGAGCACGUAGGCGGUUAGGAAAGCGAUAGGUGAAAUCCCCCGGCUCAACCGAGGAACUGCUUAUCGAACUGCCUGACUAGAGCACGGGAGAGGGCACUGGAAUUCCUGGUGUAGCGGAGGAAUGCGUAUAUAUCAGAGGAACACCGGUGGCGAAGGCUGGUGCCUGGAACGUUGCUGACGCUAAGUGCGAAAGCCAGGGGAACAAACGGGAUUAGAUACCCCGGUAGUCCUGGCCGUAAACGAUGGACACUAGUGUUGGAGGUUCGACCCCUUCAGUGCUGUUAAGCUAACGCGUUAAGUGUCCCGCCUGGGGAGUACGGUCGCAAGGCUGAAACUCAAAGGAAUUGACGGGGGCCCGCACAAGCGGUGGAGCAUGUGGGUCAAUGGAUGAUACGCCGAGAACCUUACAGGGCUUGACAUGACCCUGAUCCCCUGCGAAAGCAGGUCUUCUGGGCAACCAGACAGGGCCACAGGUGGUGCAUGGUUGUCGACAGCUCGUGUCGUGAGAUGUUGGGUUAAGUCCCGCAACGAGCGCAACCCUCGCCGGAUGUUGCCAGCGGUUAGGCCGGGCACUCUUCCGGGACUGCCGGAGUAAUCCGGAGGAAGGGGGGGAUGACGUCAAAUCUGCAUGCCCCUUAUGUCCUGGGCUGCACACGUGCUACAAUGGCGAGUACAAAGGGUCGCGAAGCCGCGAGGCCCAGCUAAUCCCCAAAAACUCGUCCCAGUUCGGAUUGGAGUCUGCAACUCGACUCCAUGAAGUCGGAAUCGCUAGUAACCGUGGAUCAGCAAUGCCGCGGUGAAUACGUUCCCGGGCCUUGUACACACCGCCCGUCAAGUCACGGAAGCUGACAGCACCCCAAGUCCGCUACGGCGGCCCAAGGUGAGGUCAGUGACUGGG
Molecule: ribosomal RNA, 1453 nt
Filed under: uncultured bacterium
Lineage: Bacteria
Description: 16S ribosomal RNA
Rfam family: Bacterial small subunit ribosomal RNA
Source: RNAcentral